UGCCAGCCGCCGCGGUAAGACGAACCGUACGAACGUUAUUCGGAAUUACUGGGCUUAAAGGGUGCGUAGGCUGCACGGUAAGUUGGAAGUGAAAUCCUAUGGCUUAACUAUAGAACUGCUUCCAAAACUGCAGACCUAGAGUAUGGGAGAGGUAGAUGGAAUUUCUGGUGUAGGGGUAAAAUCCGUAGAGAUCAGAAGCAAUACCGAUUGCGAAGGCGAUCUACUGGAACAUAACUGACGCUGAGAUGCGAAAGCGUGGGGAGCAAACAGGAUUAGAUA
Molecule: ribosomal RNA, 279 nt
Filed under: uncultured bacterium
Lineage: Bacteria
Description: partial 16S ribosomal RNA
Rfam family: Bacterial small subunit ribosomal RNA
Source: RNAcentral